RNA transcript from Anopheles stephensi (Asian malaria mosquito), 16000 nucleotides. It is a transcript of the gene named ankyrin repeat and KH domain-containing protein mask, with no coding region annotated. The record is from RefSeq and is a predicted model, not a curated record. NCBI's taxonomy places the organism in Eukaryota, Metazoa, Arthropoda, Insecta, Diptera, Culicidae. The transcript is spliced from 19 exons.
GAAAAUAAAAUAUGGCGAAAAAUUCUACUGGCGGUCGAAGGCACGGAAGCUCCGUAUGAAAAAGCAAAUUUCUAUGGUAAAAAGUGAUUGUAGCCGUACGAAAAGUGUGACAAACGCAUGGUGAAUGCGCCUAGCAUACGGGACGCAUAGAGAAAGAUGCAGAAUGCUGAACAAUCCGGAGUGAAAAACCGGGAGAAAAUUGUUAAAUCAGUGAAUCAGCAGACUUCGUUGAAAUCGCAGCUGCAGCAGCAGCAGCAGCAGCAGCAGCCUUCAUUGUCGUGUUCGUCUUCGUUGUCUUCGUCCUCCUCAACAUCAUCGGAAGGAGAAGAGACGGCGGCAUUAGUUUCCACUGCCCAGGAAAUAGCAGAAACAGGAGCAGCCAAGACUUCGUCAUCGACAUCAAAGAACAAUAGCAGCAGCAGCAACAACAGCAGCACAAUCGGUGGUGGUAGUAGUAGCAACAGUGGUGGUGGUAGUGUCGACAACAGUGGUAAUAGUGGAGUAACAAGCACAAGUGGAAACGGUGCUACUGCUGCUACUACCAUCGUCGACGUUGUUGCUGGUACGGCCACCACUUCUUCAACAGUUUCGCCCUCAUCUUCCCCGUCAUCAUCGUCGUCGUCAUCGGCGGCCUUGCAUGCAGGGGGGCAGCAGCAGGAUGCGAAUGACGAGUCGGAAUCGGUCGUAGGAACGGCGGCGCAUCCAUUGUCGGUAACGACGGAAGCUGACGCUGCGGCUGGAGCGCUGAGCAGGCUUACACUUGCUGCCGCUGGCUGCCCAGUACCGCCUGUCGGGUCCGAACCGAAUCGGUCCCAGCUGCCUAGCAGCGUGAUUUGUAAAAACAAUUCUAAAAAUAAUGGUAAAACAAUGUCUUCGCCGAAGAGUUCCACCACAACAACAACAGCAGGCGCAACAAAGCCUGCUCCUCCACCAUCGGCCGUGCUCGUGGGUGCCGCCACGGGAUCGACGAGCGCCCCAGGAGCUGGCGAUGGCGUUGGUACCGGCAAACAAGCUAACGGUGAUGGCGAUUGCUGCAAGUCCGCAGCGGGAGAAACCGGAAGUAGCGCUACGACUGGUAGCAUCAACAACAGCAAACCGCCAGCGACCAGCAAUAGCUCGUCUCCGACCAAGUCGGAUACUGAGACGUUCUCCGAGAUACAGCCUCGCGUUUCGGACUCGUCCGAGUCAGAGGAGGAGUCGGUGUCGGAGAUAUUGCUGGCUUGCCUAUGUCUAAGGCCAGAUCUGCUGGUUGACGACUUUGCAUUAGAUCAGCCGUCAUGCGAAAUUCCAGAAACGGAAUGUUCCGAUAGCUGUGAGAAUGACGUCGACAUGGAUGAGUCGGACAGUUGCGACAAUGAUGCCGACGAUAAUGAAGAUUCUGACGAAGACGAGGAAGACGAUGAUGACGAGAUGGUUCAUAGUACGGUACCGGGAAAAUUUCUCCUAGAGAACGAUGAUGAUACCGACCAUGAACGAGACGAAGCAGCGCACGCAUUAACGCGAAUGAAAUCUAGCGAUGGCAGUCCGAGGGAUAAGAAUUUGCUAUCACGUUCGCUGAUUGCGGCCUGCACCGAUAAUGACGUAAACACUGUGCGGCGAUUGCUCGUGGAAGGAAAUUCGCUAAAUGAAGCGACCGAAGAGGGCGAUUCGUUGCUAUCGUUGGCAUGUUCCGCCGGUUACUUCGAGUUGGCUCAGGUACUGCUGGCGAUGUCUGCACAGGUCGACGAUCGUGGCCAAAAGAACGAUUGCACUCCGUUGAUGGAAGCAGCUUCGGCCGGCCACGUGGAAAUCAUUGAACUGCUGUUCAAGCACGGUGCGGACGUGAAUGCGCAAUCCUCUACCGGUAACACUCCGCUGAUGUACGCCUGUGCCGGCGGUCACGAAAAGGCAGUGAAGCUGCUGUUGGACCAGGGUGCUAAGGUGGAGGAUCACAACGAAAAUGGACACACUCCGCUGAUGGAGGCUGCCUCCGCCGGCCAUGUCGGAGUCGCCAAGAUUCUGUUGGAACACGGAGCCGGCAUUAAUACACAUUCGAACGAGUUUAAGGAGAGUGCCCUGACACUGGCCUGCUACAAAGGCCACCUAGACAUGGUCCGUUAUCUGUUGGAGGCGGGUGCUGACCAGGAGCAUAAAACCGAUGAAAUGCAUACGGCCCUGAUGGAAGCGUCCAUGGACGGGCAUGUCGAAGUGGCGCGGCUGCUGCUGGACUCGGGGGCACAAGUAAAUAUGCCGACCGACUCGUUUGAAUCGCCGCUUACGCUAGCAGCCUGUGGUGGACAUGUCGAUCUGGCCAUGCUGCUGAUCGAUCGCGGAGCCAACAUCGAGGAGGUGAACGAUGAAGGUUACACACCGCUGAUGGAGGCCGCUCGGGAGGGUCACGAAGAGAUGGUGGCAUUAUUGCUACAACAGAAUGCGCAGAUCAAUGCUCAAACGGAAGAAACUCAGGAAACGGCUCUUACACUAGCGUGCUGCGGAGGUUUCAUCGAGGUGGCCGAAUAUCUGAUCAAAAACGGUGCAGAUAUUGAGCUCGGUGCGUCGACGCCGCUAAUGGAAGCUGCCCAGGAGGGGCACAUCGAUUUGGUGCGGUUUCUGCUGCAGCAUGGCGCAAACGUACACGCACAGACGCAGACGGGCGACACCGCGUUAACGUACGCGUGCGAAAACGGCCAUACCGAGGUGGCGGACAUCCUGCUCAACUACGGUGCCGAGCUGGAGCACGAGUCGGAGGGUGGCCGCACGCCGCUCAUGAAAGCGUGCCGUGCCGGGCACUGGUGCAUCGUGAAGUUUCUGAUCGAGCGGGGCGCGGACGUGAAUCGGCAUACGACGAACAACGAUCACACGCCGCUCUCGCUAGCGUGCACCGGCGGCCACCAGAACGUGGUGGAGCUGCUGCUGAAAAAUGGUGCGGACCCGUUCCAUCGGCUGAAGGACAGCAGUACGAUGCUGAUCGAGGCAGCGAAGGGUGGCCACAUCGGCGUCGUUCAGCUGCUGCUCGACUAUCCGCACUCGCUAAUGAACGCGAACGCGGCUGCGCAGCAACAGAACAUGCUGAGCAGUGGCCAGAUGCAACAACUGCAGCAGCAACAGCAGGUUCAUCAGCAACAACUGCAACAGCAACAUCAGCAGGCUCAGCAGCUAAUCAUUACGCAAAACCAUCAGCAACACCAGCACCACCAGCAGCAGCUGCAGCAAGCGCAGCAGCAGCAGCAGCAGCAGCAACAGUUGCUAGCCGGUCCGCCCGGUUUGCGCGAAGUUCCGGAAGCGAUUCGCGUGAGUAACAAGCAAAUUUUCCAACUGCCAAGCAAGGAUAUGUUAGAACAGCAGCAACAACAGUUGCAAAGUCAAACACCAGCGCAACAACAGCAGCAACAGUCCCAGCAAGCGCUGCAAGCGCAUCUGCAACAGCAGCAACAGCUCCAACAGCACCAACAGCUGCUCGCCAACAGUCACCAGCUCAUAAGCCAGGCCAACAUGCUGCUGGACAGUAGCGGAAACGAUACAUCCGUGCUCGCACAGCACCUGCUGGAAAUACAGGAUCCCCUGUCGAAGGAAAACUUCCUCGAAGGUUUGGCGAUGGGGUUGCGUCCGCGUGGUCGCCGCAUGACCAGCGGACCAGCAGCGCCUGCCGGAUCUUCAACCACACCACCAAUUGCCGGACAGCAGCAGCAGCAGCAGCAGCAGCAGCAAGAUCAAGCCGUUGUCGCGCAACAACAACUGAUACAAUAUUUGCACCAACAUCAACAGCAAGCGCAACAGCUGCAAGCGGCUCAACCAAUUAUUCUGCAGGGCAAUAACGUCGUUACUCAGCAGCAACAGCAGCAGCAGCAGAUGGCAUCGGCUGGAGGAGCGGCAGGAAAUAAGCAGCAGCGCAGCCUAUUGCGCAAGAAGCAACAGCAACCCACAGUAGCACUGCCAUCGCCAUUCGAGGCAACUCUUUCCGGUGCCGAGGUGCAGCAAGUCCGCAGCGAUCCCAUUGGCGAGGAUAACAAUGGUAGCUGCAGUGCUGGUGGGGUGAAAAACAUUUCCCAGCUGCAACAGCAGCCACCACCGCGUGUGAGCAACGUUGCAAUGCGCUCUGAUUACGAGCUGUAUCAGAAGCAAAUGAGUGAGAUCCAGUUUCAGAAGAAAGCAAAAAUACAGUUCAUCAGUGAUGCAAAAGGUCCACCACCGACCCUUCUGCCGCACACGGAAUCGUACCUUGCCAAUCUGCAAAGCAACUUGCCUCCGUCGCAACAGCAACAACAACAUCAUCAGCUAGCAACAAUAGCUGGCAAUGCAUCCGCCACCGCCGGUGGUGCGUCUGUUGUUUCGGGUGGCCUUACCACCAUCGGCAGCAGCCCGGCCGCUACCAGCAGCACUGGCACCACCCUGACUGCCCCAUCGGAAGUGUCACAAAGCACUGCCAUCAGCGAUCGUCCAAAAGUGAAGCCCGUGUCGAAGAAGGAUGCCAAGAAUAAUCGCAAAACAGCUGCGGCGGCAGCAGCAGCAGCCGCAGCGGCUGUCGCAACCGCCACAGCCUCCGUACAGCAGUUGCAGCAGCAGCAGCAGCAACCAUUCUGGCCUUUGGCGGGAAAUAAUUCGUCCGGCGGCAGUGGGAAUGCUAACGGUGUCUUGCAGCAAAAUCCAAUGGUGUCAAUUUAUAACAACUUGUCUGUGAUUCCAAGUUCCGACCAGAAUGUGCAGCUGUUGCAGCAGUCGAUGGCGAACUUGAAUCUCCAGUCACAGUCGCCCGUAACGCCACCCUCCACCAUCAUGCCAUCAUCGGGUGGUAAAGCAUCGGAAAAGAAGACACCAACUGCGACGGAUGCAGGGAAUGAGGGUAAGACGAGCGAGUUCGUCGUUACCGCGAACGAAACCGAAUCACCGUCGGUUGCUUCCGAGGUGAAAACUGACAGCAGUACGGUUCCUACGCCAGCGCACGCCAAGGCGACCGUCAUCACGAGCACUGUUGCAGCAAAGCGUGCAACGGGCGUUGCGAGCGAUGAUAUCGCCGACGCUGGUUUAGCCGACAAAGAAGCAACAUUGAAUGCCGAACGGCGGGGAAUCAGUGGUAGUGACACUGCCAGUAGCAGCAGCAGCAGCAGCAGCAGCACCACUAGCAGCGCUGGUGAAAGUGGUUCGUCGGGCGGCAAGAUUAACAACAGCUCGGCACCAGGCAGCGGCGGCAACGCGAAAACCAACAGCGUUGAAGGGGGCAGCGUUAUCGUUCCCUCUGGCGGUGAUGCGGUGGUGGGUGGUGGAGAUGGCGAAGGAAGCACCAUCAGCAGUGGUAGCAGCAUCAGCGGCAGCAGCAACAGCAGUGCCAGUGGCAGCGACAGCAGCAGCAGCAGCAGCAGCAGCACCACAACCACCACCAGCGCCAACAACAACACUGCCGACGGUGACGGAGGCGAUGGAGGCACCGGUGCAGGUAAUGGCAAUGGUGAAGAGGAAGCAGGUACCAGUGGCGGGAUCGGUGGUGGAACCGUGUCGAGCAUCGAUCCGGACAACCAGUUCAACCUGUUUGCGAUGGUCGAUCGGAAGCUGAUGCUCAAGAUCGCGCACCGCUUGCUCGGCGACACGUCCAAAUCGCCGUCGGAAACGCCACCGCUGACCAGCUGCCCGGCCGGCUCGAACUUGGAACCGCCCGCUUCACCCCCGCCAGCGCUGAUGAACAAUGCCGAUAUGGAGUAUCCCGAGCUGUCGCGCAUCCUGUGCAGCUUCAGUGGCUCCGACAUAAUGCCUACCCCAGAGUUUGUGCAAGUGCACCAGCACAUGCAAAACAUUAUUCAGCAUAAAAGCGGCAGUAAUCCCAUUAAAUUAGGAGACUCGGCCGACGGUCAUCCGUAUGCGGAGGAGGGCGACGACCAUCUGCCGCCAGUGUUUAACAUCGAGGAAGCGGAUGCGGACGGCAUCGCCGAAUGUGUUGGUGGCAUCUAUCCUGCGCUGGACGAAACACUGGAACAGUAUCACGGCGAGGACGGUACGGUCACGCAAGCACACGGCGGGGCACGCGAAUCGACCUACAACUAUGAAUGGGUGGACAGCAUUGACGAUGUGAUCCACGUGCUUAACGGAUGCCCUGACAUUCCAAUGGCACUGCAACAGGACAUGGCCGCCAACUUCGGAUGCCAGGAAAUGGACGUGUACGCCAAUCUGAUCGGGCUAAACUCGUUCUGCAAGACGCGCUGGACGGGCAACCAGAAUCAGAUCACAUCCGGCACAUCGUCUCCGGUGGAGGAGGACACCGGUAUGGUGACGUUAAGCGAUCCGACGUUCGCUUACCGUACCGGUCAAACCGCUGGUCAACUGUUGGCGUUGGAUCCUCAGCAGUUUUCGAUGGAAUCGAUUCAGCUGCUUAAUCAGCUACAUCAGGCAUCUGUAUCUCAGGCUUCCGCAUCUGGAUCUGUACUGCAUCAUCCGCCGGCAGCGAACGCUGGUGCUGGUGCACCGGGCCAGCAGCCGAAGCUUGUGUUCAAUGUCGAUGCGGAUAAAGCGUCGCAAGUGCAUCUACUGUUCCAGCUGCCUACCUUGCAAUCUCAGCAGCAGCAACAGCAGCAGCAGCAGCAGCAGCAAAUGAUGCAAGAUCAGCAGCACGACCACAUGAACAUGAUAGCCAACAAUAAUCAACAGCAGUCGCAAAAUUCGCAGCAGUCACUAUCGCUGCAACAAGCGGCGGCUGGUCAGCAGCAGCAGCAGCAGCAGCAACAACAGUGCAACAUCGCCGCAAUGCAGCCGCAUGCAGCGGCUGCAGCAGCUGCCGCUGCCAUCCAGCACGCUCAGCUGCAGCAGCAACUACACGCGCAGGGUAUGACAGCUGGCCAUACCGGUUCAGCGGUACUGCAGCAGCAGCAGCAGCAACGAAUGCAGCAUCUGCAGUCCCAGGCCCAGGGACAGCAGCAGUUGCAACAUUUGCAUCAAUCGCAGCAAGGACAGCAGCAGCAACAGUCACAACAGCAGCAGCAGCAGCACUGUUUACAACACGCCCAAAUGCAGGUAUCUACCCAAACGCCCCAACAUCAGCAGCAUGUCGCCGCAUCUGCCAGAGGUGACGAGGAGAUGUCUCCGUUGGUUAGAACGCAGCAUUUCGCGCUGAUGGACAGCAACAACCAGCCGACGACGGCCAACGCUGGCAGUGGAAAGCUGGGCGGAGGUGGUGGCGGUGGUGCUGGUGGCAAAAAGGGAGAGAAAAAUCGUAAAGAAAAGAACCGACUGGCUGCUGUGCCAGCGGUGCGUCAGGCACCGGCCGGACAGCAGAGUGCUGGAGCAGCAGCAGCAGCAGGCGGACAGCUGCAAAACUACCAGUACGACAGUGGCAGCACCAAUGGCAAUGCGAGAUCGGUCGGCGGAGCGAUGGACAUCCCUCCACCAAGCGGCACCGUUCAACCGUUCCAUGGUGGUGGCAGUGGCAUGAUGCCUCCGCAGGCCGGCAGUACCGGUGUAUCGGAGCGCACGAUCGAUGUGGAUUCGGAAACGGACUCGAACCAUGACACCGCGCUGACACUCGCUUGUGCCGGUGGGCACGAAGAUAUGGUGGAGCUGCUGAUUACCCGCGGUGCCAAUAUCGAGCACAAGGACAAGAAAGGCUUCACACCGUUAAUACUGGCAGCGACCGCCGGUCACGAGAAGGUGGUGGAUACGCUGCUGCGCAACGGUGCCGAGAUUGAGGCACAGUCGGAGCGCACCAAGGACACACCGCUGUCGUUGGCCUGCUCGGGCGGACGGUACGAGGUGGUUGAGCUGCUGCUUAGCAUGAACGCUAACCGGGAGCAUCGCAACGUGUCCGACUACACGCCGCUCAGCUUAGCUGCCAGCGGUGGCUACGUGAACAUCAUCAAGCUGUUGUUGCAGCACGGCGCAGAGAUAAACUCGCGCACCGGCAGCAAACUGGGCAUCUCGCCGCUCAUGCUUGCCGCCAUGAACGGGCAUGUGGCGGCCGUGAAGCUGCUGCUCGACAUGGGUUCGGAUAUAAACGCGCAGAUCGAAACCAACCGCAAUACGGCGCUAACCUUGGCAUGCUUCCAGGGGCGCCAUGAGGUGGUCAGUCUGCUGCUCGAUCGUAAGGCGAACGUGGAGCACCGGGCCAAAACCGGCCUCACGCCACUGAUGGAGGCAGCUUCGGGCGGCUACAUCGAUGUGGGGCGCGUGCUGUUGGACAAGGGUGCAGACGUUAAUGCUGCCCCGGUGCCAUCGUCCCGCGACACCGCACUCACCAUAGCGGCCGACAAGGGUCACCUGAAGUUUGUCGAGCUGUUGCUGUCGCGUGGCGCGCUUGUCGAGGUGAAGAACAAGAAAGGUAAUUCGCCCCUCUGGCUGGCAGCGAACGGGGGACAUCUGGGAGUGGUGGAGCUGCUAUGCAGCUCGGGCGGCGAUAUUGAUUCGCAGGACAAUCGCAAAGUGUCCUGCCUGAUGGCGGCUUUCCGCAAGGGCCACACGAAGGUCGUAAAGUGGAUGGUGGGCCAGGUAACACAGUUCCCGUCCGACCAGGAGAUGACGCGCUACAUCAACACGAUCAGCGAGCAGGAGCUGUUGGAGAAGUGUCACGACUGUGUGAAGGUGAUUCGUGCCGCCAAGGAUCAGCAGGCUACCAAGGCAAACAUUAACGCUUCGAUUCUGCUGAAGGAGCUCGAUCUCGAACGGUCGCGAGAGGAAAGCCGCAAGGCGGCAGCGGCCAAGCGGCGGGAAAGAAAGAAGCGACGCCGGGCGGAGAAGCGCGAGCAGCAGCGCAAGCUGGAGAUGGGCGAGGACGGUGAGGCCGAUGGCAACGACGAAGAUGACGAGGAGGAAGAGGCGGAAGAUGAGAAGGAAGAGGAGGAAGAGGAGGAGGAGGAGGAUGUUGAUAGUGAGCAUGACGAGGACGAAUUGCUUCUCUCCGCUGCCAUGACGCAACAGGCCGCCAUCAACAGUGGCAAGAAUAAGAACCGCAAUGCAAACCAUCCAUCGUCCCAGGCGCAUCACAAGUCGCAGCAGAAUCACCGCGAGAAGGAGAAGGAAGGCAAGGGCCGGGAGAAGGAGAAAGAGAAGGAGAAGCAUAAGGAGACGGAACGAGGAGCGAAUCAAUCGUCCUCCUCUUCCUCCUCCUCCUCCUCCUCCUCCUCUGGCAGCAGCGCUAAUCAGCAGCGCCAGCAACACCAACAGCAGCAAAACAAUGGGCAGCUGUACCAGUACCGGCCCAUGUCGAUCCCGUACCAGGUGCAGGAGGAAGGUGAUUCCGGCAUCGAUGCCAACAGUUUGGGCUCAUGUUCCAGCUCCGAGGUGAAGUCUUCUUCGAACGGCAACAGCGCCCUGGAGCAGAAGAAGAACAACAAGAAGCGAAAGCAACAGCAACAGCAGCAGCAGCAGCAGGCACAAACGGCCCGCGGUACGAUCGCUUCCACGAAUGCUGCCGGUGCAGCGCGUGCGGCCAAGGCCGCUGCCGUUGCAAGCGCGUCCACUGGUGGUGGCAAAUCGUCCAACAGUGCGCAGCAAAGCAUCAGCAACAAUAAUCGCCAAUCGAAAAGUCCCGAAACCGGGUCGGCUGCCGCAUCGUCGUCCGUGUCGUCGAACGGUAAUGCUGUGGUGCAGGAUAAAAACUCGAAAGAAAAGAAUCGACGUCAGCAGCAGGAGAAGGAACAGCAAUAUGGUGGUGGUGGUGGCGGCGGCGGCGGCGCCGGAAGAGAAAAGCGCGACAAGGCAACGCUCGAGAAGGAAAACGUUGCACCGAAGGAUCAUCACGAUCGUUCCGGUGCCCUAUCGACGAUGGCAACAGCAAAGAAUGAUAGCAAAAAAUCAUCCGCCAAUGAUCAUCAUCAUCACCAUCAUCACCAUCAGCAGCAGCAGACGGGAAGCAACAGCAGUACGGCCGGUGGUGGUGGUGGUGCAACGCAUCAGACUUCGCAGCAGCAAACCGGCGUGCCGGGUAAUCGCAAAUCGAUUAUCGUUUUCGGUUCGGGCAACCGACACACCUCGGAUCAGAACGAUGAACUGCAAACUGGUGGUAACUAUUACAACACAGGCGCCAAUGCUGGUGGAAAGAAAACGCACGGCAACAAAACGUUUUACAACACCACGGCCAACAGUGAGGAUCAUCACGGGCAUCACGGCAAGAUGUCGUCCGCCAGUCCGAUGAAGCAACAUGCCGGUGGAAUGAGUGUGUCGCAGCAGCAGCAGCAGCAGCAGAAUGCAAUCGCAGGUUCACAGACCAACUCGUCGAUGGGUGUAAAGCGUGAGGAAGGCUGGAAAGAGGUCGUUCGCAAGAGCUCAGUACAGCAGAGCAGCGGCGGUGGUGGUAGUGCUGGUGGUGGUGGUGGCGGUGGCAGCGGAAGCAACAGUGGCGGUGGUGGCGGCGGAGGAGGCGGCAGCGGAUCGUCUUCCUCGCCGAUGGAAUGUCGCAAGGUGCAGGUGCCGGUGCAUGCGAUUUCGCGAGUCAUAGGCCGAGCCGGAAGCAACAUCAACGCCAUCCGUGCCGCAACCGGGGCGCACAUCGAGGUGGAAAAGCAAGGCAAGAGUCAGGGUGACCGGUCGAUCACUAUCAAAGGUUCGCAGGAAGCGACCAAACAAGCACACUCGCUUAUCGUUACCCUCAUUAAGGACCCGGACGUGGAUAUACUGCUAAUGCUGCCCAAGCACAGCUCUAGCAGCGGCAGCUCGGCUCAGAAAAGCUACGGAUCGUCUUCAGCAUCUGCCACCAGUGGAACGACGGCCGGACAGAACGUCACGUCGUCGAUGCCGUCCUCGGCACCCUCGGCACAACAGCAGUCACCGGUCAUCGUGCCUGCAGCGAUUAUUCCUACGAAUGGUGCUGCUCCGACCAUGUCGGCUAUUGUGGCAUCCGGUGGUGUAGCAGCGGCUGCAGCCGCAGCAGCAGCAGCUGCUGCGGCCGCUGCCGCCGCCGCCGGCAACCACCCGGCAACAGGUUCUGCCAAAGGUGGAAAGAGUGUGUUCGGUGCUUCUAGCAAGUCGGCGAAUGCUGGUGCCACCGGUGGAAACGUCUCAGUGGGAGGUAACGCUGGCACCGGAAGCACCAUGGGUGGAAUGGUUAACAGUAAGACUACUCCGUCCACUCAAGGUUCGAUCGCGUCCAACUCGAACGCCACCGUACGGACAUCGACCACCAAGAAUCUGUUCCUAUCCUCGACAAGUGCGCAACAGCAGCAACAAUCCCGCGCACUAACGGCUGCUAGCAGCAAUAGUGCCACCGUCAACAGCGGCAGCAUGCCAUAUGCCGUUGCAGCUUCUGCUGCCGGACAGGGAAAGGAUUCCAAGCGACAGCCGGCCGCUUCGUCGCAGCAACAGUCGUCCUCCAUCGUGCUCUCGGCUAGCGGUGGUCCGAAGGGACCGCUCCACCAUCCAGGCCUUGCUACGACGGGGCCAUCGGGUGCCGGUGGCAGUGCAGCGACGGCACCGUUCGGAAGUGUGGGAAUGCAAUCGAUGAAGUCGAAAAAUAGCAACAACCUCAAAGCAUCUUCCAACGCAGCAGCAGCAGUACCACAGGCAGGUGGUACGAAUGGUGGCAACGGCACCGGCGGAUCGGCCGGAUCGUUCGCCAAACUGGUCGCAUCCGACGGAAACGGUCAAAAGAAAGCCUUCCCCAGCUCCGGUUCCGUUGGCAACUGUGGUUCGAAUGCGGCUGCCAUUGUGCCGCAACAAGGACAACAGCAGCAGCAGCAGCAGCAGCAGCAACCAGCAGUGGGAGUUAUCGGAGGCCGUGCCCCGGCGCAAGUACAGCAAUCGCCUGCUAAAGGUGGUGGAUCUGCGGGCCUGCCCGUACCGUUUGGUAGUAACGCCAGUACAGCAGUGUCACCAUCGACCGGUUCCCAUCUGAUUUCAUCCAGUGCUUCUUCUUCGCAUCAGUCAAGCCAGGGAGGAGGGGUCGGUGCCGGACAGCAAAAGAUUUCGUCGUUUAUUCCACCGAUUGCGACGAGCGGCCCGGGGCCAACGAUCGUGGAAGCAUCCGCUGUACCGCCAUUACCGCCCAUUAGCGUACCAAACACAGCGAAUCCACUUGCAGCACCGGGAAGCGGUCGGUCAAUCACCCCGAUCGGGCAACCACCGUCAUCGUCCGCAGCGUCGUCGUCCGCCGUUGGUUCCGUGUCGACCAUCUCGUCGUCGUCCGCCUCGUCAACAUCGUCGUCCGUGACGACCGGGCCGAUUGGAAGUCGUAGCGUUACCACACCAUCGCCCCUGCUGCAACAUCAGCAACCAUCCGCAACUUCGCCCACAAUUGGUGGUCAGUUGCACACGAAGAUGCAACCGCCCAUCGGACCGCAUCAUCAGCAGCUGCCACCACCGUCGCCUCCACCGUCGAACGUAUAUUCGCUGUUUAACGACCCGUUCACCAACAGCCAGUGGGGUGUGGGUGGAAAUGGGGCCGGCAGCAAUGUGGGGGGCGAUGUUGGCAAACCGCCACUGUACGGUGGUCAUCACCAUCAGCAACAGCAUCACCAUCUGUCGCACGGUAAUAUGGCGCCACAUCAUCAUCAGCAACAUCAUCAGCAGCAUAGCAGCAGUGUGGGUGGUGUGACCGGGGGUGGUGUUUUGGGCACAUUCAUGGAGAACCCGCCUACUCUGCAGGUUGACGCUUCGAAGGCUCCGGGAUACCGGGGAAAUGCCAUUUCUUCGCCAGUGAGCUCGAAGGUUUCGAGUAAUGCAACAACUCCACCAUCCUCGAGCAUGUCGUCGCAUCAGCAUCAGCAGCACCAGCAGCAACCUCCAAUGCACCAAGCAUUGCAGCAGCAGCAGCAGGCCAAUGGAGCACAUCUAAAUCUCCAUCUCCAGUCCCAGCAGCAGCUUGGCUCUCAUCAGCAACAGUCGCUAGGAGGGUUAGGCCAUAUACUGGGUGGUGCGAACAGCAGCAGCAGCAACAGCACAUCUCCCCUCGCUGCCCUGGGAGGUGGUGGCCAACCACAGCAACCCAGCUCAUCCUCCGCAGUGGUUUCACGGGACGCCGGAGUGGUGAACAUGGUCGGUGGUGGACAUGCGGUGUCAUCUGCCUCCUCGUCUGUAUCGUCAUCCGUGUCCGGUGGUGGUCAGCAACAUCAGCAACACCAUCAACCAUCCUACCAGUCGUCCAAUGAGCCACCGAAUGUCGGUAUGAAACCGGCGCAGCCUCAACCAUCCUCCGCCAUGCAUGGUAAUGGUGGGCAAGGAGCUGGAGCUGGUUUGGGCAUGCUGCGCUCGAUGAUGAACAUGUCCGCGCAUAUGCGCCAUCCGGCAGGUGGAAAUGGUCCGCCCGACUAUCUGGGUGGUGCCGGUGGACGCGACCAUACGCAGCAACCACCCGUCGGUAGCUCUCGGCCGCCGCCACUAAUGUACGACGGUACGGGAGCUGGCGGUGGGCCGCCGGAUUCGCUGCAAUCCUCCUACCAACCGCACCUCGGUCUCGGUGGCAACGGGAACGCUGGUUUGCCACCGAUCUCCCGCCUCAAUCCCAAAGCGUCGGCAUUCUCCGGUGGCAUCGGUCCAUCGGUUAUGCCGCCGACGCAGCACCAGCCGGGUAAGAUGAGUAUGGCCAAUAACCAUCAACCGUACGGUGGGAAUAAUGCGGGUGGUGGUGGAGGAGGAUCUGGAAUGUUUCAUCCGCCACCGCCGAUUGGCAUGGGCGGUGGAGGAAAGUAUCCGUCGAUGUCGUCGUACAGCCUCGCACCGGGACGCCCCAACAGUCAGCAGCCACCGCACGGUGGUGGCGGUAAUGGUGCCGGCGGCACCGGAGGUCCACCGCCUCCGAUGAGCGGCGGAAUGCAUCAUCGUGGCGCGACGGGCGGCGGAAACAAUUGGUUCUCGUCCGACUUAAGCCACCUGCAGCGUGAUAAUUUGAUGGGCAUGGAGAAUGGGCUCGCGAUGGCACUGAAUGCUGCCACGGUCGCAGCCGGCGGUUCGCCCAACAACAUAUCGCCCAACAACAACAACAACAACAGCAAUGCGCAGCACACCAUCAACGGUGGUGUGAGCGGACUGGUGGCGCAGCACCACCACCAGCAGCAACAGCAGCAGUCGAUGAUGGACGAUUCGCGGAAGCUGCCGCGCGCCAUCGGUACCGAGCGGGCCUGGAAGUAUGGCGGCAACGGGAACGUUGGUCUGGUGGGCAGUGGCAGUGGCGGGGGGGCCGCCGGUGGUGCCGGAAACAAUGCUGCUGGCAACAUGUACAACGCUGCCAUGGUGACGGCCUACGUUGGGCUGGAUGGGCCGGAUAUCAUAAACGGUGGCGCAUCGCCCGCAGCCCUAGCUGCGGCAGCGGCUGCCGGCAACCAACCGUGGAUGGGUAUGGACAAAAAUCAGUUCAUGGGUGGUGGUGGUGGUGGUUUGGGAGGCUCCCAGCAACAGCAGCAUCAGCAGCAGCAGCAGCAGCAGCAGCCUCCUCUGCCGUGGCUUACACCGGCAGGAAUGGGCCGACAGUACAUGGAUGACAUUCACAUACCGGAUCAUUUCCAGCAACUGCAGAUGGACUAUCAUAGCACCAUCGGUGGAGCUGGACCGAGCGGACCCAAUCAACCGAACAUGAACUUCAUGCAGUAUCCAUUCACACCAUCGAACGAUAUGGUGGGAACGGCAGAGCUGCGACCACCGUGGGAACAUGAAAAGCAUGGUUGGUCGCAAAAGUGGUCGGGACACUAGAGGCAGACGCCGGACAGUUGUGCGAUGCGAGAAGCUAACGAUACACACCAACAACAGCAGUACACCGGAAACAAACCGGUCCCCGCUUCUCUUUAGGGCGCCAUCAUCGGCAAUUAGAAAGGGUUUAGCCUAGUAGAAGGAACUAGUUAGCAGCAGAAAGAAGUUGCGCGCGUGUUGGGUUUGGAGCGAGAGACCGCUUUGAGGAGGGCGUACCGAAAUGAUGCGGAUGAACAAGAUGAACGCUAAUCUCAACCGUGUGUGUGUGUCUUAUAUACUGCUUUCCGAUACAAGCACAGAUCAAUUUUACGUUUGGAGACGAAGAUGAAGAUCUCCUAUUUCCUAUCCCCCUCUUUCACACUAUGCGUAGCUCAUCCAUGCUGAUUCGUCUGGUGGCAGUAUGAACAAAUCGGCAAACCGGUAAGAAGGGUACGUACGCGAUGUUGUGUACCCCGUCUCGCACGCUUCUAGUGAUGUGAUCGUUAUCGUGUUGCUGAUGUAGAGGAAAACAAAAAAAACAAAACAAUAUCAAACCAGAGCCAAAUGCAUAGCAGCAGCAGCAGCAGCAAGGGAAAAAAGGAACGCGGAAAAGGAUUAAUAAUACCAGUACACUAAUAGCAUCUACUAGAUUAAUAUCUACCUACCUACAUUACACACUACUCUUAUCAUUAAUACUAUCACUUAUAAAGCUACCCUUGGAUGCUCUACCGUCAGCUAAAAGCGCGCGCGUAAGAAAUUUGAAACAGACACACACAGUAAAACACUACGCUCGAGCCUAUUGAAUAUGAUUGCCUAACAGUGGACGAGACGCACUACUUAGAGAGAGAGAGAGAGAGAAACCCGCUACCGCGAUAGGAGGGCAAAGGGAGUGCUGCCGAUAAAUCACCCACCCAACCCUCCAAGCGUGGUAAUUACCGUAGUUGAUUAUUAUCCCGUAACCAUGUACCGUACCAUCCACGGUAUGUUUGAAUUUCUAGGACUAAUCUACGGUUUUAGAUAAAUGGCCGAAGCUACUCACAUAAAGUGGUCCGGGUUUUGAGAAAAAAAAGCUGCUUCAGCUAACGAUCGCAGGAUGGCGGUAGUUUCGGGUAGCUUAGCAAAACUGAUGUAGCAAUAGUGGAACUAGCAGCGCAAGUAGAAGUGACAUGUACGCUAACAAAACUGAUACUGAUGAUGAGGAUGAGGAGAGAACGCUGGAGCCAUUUGGCACUUGAUUUGGCGCUUACACGCAAAGCAGCAAAGAACGAACGCUUUACCGAGUAGCAGCAGCAGCAGCGAGGAAGAAAUAUGCUUUAGCUCGCUAUAGAGAAUCAAGCGUAUGGAUAGAGGUGUGAGUGGAAGUAUUAAAAGUAAUUCCCUACCCAAUAAUAACCACCAGGCUUCUUCGUUAACGAGUUAUCUAAUGACGAUCGGCAGCCGUUUCGAAUGUUAA